GUGACCUACGGGACGCAGCAGUGAGGAAUAUUGGUCAAUGGGCGGAAGCCUGAACCAGCCAAGUCGCGUGAGGGAAUAAGGCCCUACGGGUCGUAAACCUCUUUUGCCGGGGAGCAAGGGCCGGGACGCGUCCCGGCCCGGAGAGUACCCGGAGAAAAAGCAUCGGCUAACUCCGUGCCAGCAGCCGCGGUAAUACGGAGGAUGCGAGCGUUAUCCGGAUUUAUUGGGUUUAUAGGGUGCGUAGGAGGGCUUUUUAAUCAUCGGUA
RNAcentral lists this ribosomal RNA (266 nucleotides) under uncultured bacterium. Its description in RNAcentral is "partial 16S ribosomal RNA". It matches the Rfam family "Bacterial small subunit ribosomal RNA", at positions 334 to 596 of the family's 1533-position model. The record is from RNAcentral.